Molecule: long non-coding RNA, 5772 nt
Organism: Aethalodelphis obliquidens (Pacific white-sided dolphin)
Lineage: Eukaryota; Metazoa; Chordata; Mammalia; Artiodactyla; Delphinidae
Exons: 3
Source: RefSeq, a predicted model, not a curated record
GGGUGUCAAGUGAAAACAAGCUCAGGGCUCCCACUGAUUCUGCAUUAUGAAUCAUCCCAACAGCAACACAAAGACCAGAUGGUUUCUGCAUUAUAGUUCCUGCUGCCAAGCCUGAGGAGCUGCCUGGAACUGCCAGUUUUCCAAGACGGGUGCUCCAGACUCUUGUUAAUACUUGUGCACCUGAUACGCUUCUGAUAUACAUAUUCUGGCUUUCUUUUUCCAUUUCUUUUUCUUUUUCCUUCCCUUCCUCCCUCCCUUCCUUCCUUCCUCUCUGUCUCUCCCUUCCUUCCUUCCAACCUUCCUUCCUUCCUUUCUCUCUCUCUCUCUCUCUCUCUCUCUUUCUUUUCAACCACAUUUGGUCUCAGUGGCUUACAACCAAGACUCUUGACAGAUUCAAGGCCUAAUGAACAGAAACUACCAGACUAUGGUGCAGCUUCAUCUCAUAUAAGUGGUGGGAUAUGAGGAAAAUCUUAUACCCAGUCUGAGCCUGUUUGCUCAUGUGGAAUGUGAGUCUGAUAUCUGCCUUCCUAAACUCUGAGCUUAUCGUGCAAUCCAAAAAAGCUCUUUGUUACUGUUAAGUAAUGGAAUAAUGAUAAUGAUGAUGAUGAUGAUAAUGAUACUAAAGAUACUUUAUUAGAGUUUCAUAAGGUAAAUAUGCAGGAAAAAGAAAUACAUAGUUGUGAGGUGGAAGGUGGAAUACUUAAAGCACUUUAAAAAAUUACAUAAUAAAUUUCUUUCUGAGUGUUAGAAUAAAAUAUUUGAAAUUCACACUACAUUUCAAUGAACCAAAAAAGAGAGUCAUUCCUUAAAGAAUGCAUUUAAUACUAUGUAAAUAAUGCUGCUCUUCAUUUAUUUUUCUUAUAAAUAUGGAUUUCUUUGUUUCAGAUUUUCUUAAGGGGAAUUCUAUCUGAAUGUGUUACAGCUAAAUUCAUGAGUCCACCCAUAUCAGAUUGCAUUUCAUAUCCCCAAAUGCAAUGCCUGUUAGAUCUUUUGUUUAUACCUUAACUGUUGGCUAUCUUUUUUCAAUAAACAUUUUUAUUGAAUUAUACAUUCAGAAGGGUAUACAAAUCAUAAAGGUACAGUUUAUUGAACUGUCACAAAGGGCACACACCCAUGUAAGUGACAGCUAGGUCAAAAACUGAAUACUCCUAGAACCUGAGAAAAUACCCUCAUGCCCCUCCGAGGCCAUACUUUAGCUGCCUGAAUUGCCCUUAAUUUUAACACCAGAGAACAAUUUUUCCUGUUUCUGAAUUUUAUUUAAGUGGAAUUAUAAACUAUGUAUCAUUUUGUAUAAGGCUUCUAUAGAUCAACAAUAUAUUUAUGAGAUUCAUUCAGGUUUUGAGAGUAGCAGUGGUUUUCCUUCAUUACUGUGUGUUAUUCUAUUGUAUAAAUCUACCACAAUUGGUUUACUCAUUCAACUCUUUGAAAUGUUUCCAGUUACAAAUGAUAUUGUUUUCAACAUUCUAUUUUAUCUUUUGGUGUACAUAUGUAUUUCUUUUAAAUAUUUACCUGGGGAGGUAAUUGCUGGGUCAUAGAAUAUGAAGAUGUUUAAUUCUUAUAGAUAAAAAAUAGUCUUCCCAAAGAGGUUCUGCAGUGUUCUGCAUCCUUGUCAACACUUGGCAUUAUCAGUUAUUUUAAAUUCUAGUCAUUCUAGUGGGGUUUAGUGUUAUCUCCUUGUAGUUUUAAUUUUCAUUCCCUUGAUUCUAAGCACACAACAAAGAAAAACUACAUUAUCUUUUAUUAUUUACACUGAGGGAUAUGCAGGGAGACAAACUGUACCCAAAGUGAACUCAAAACUUUACAGUCUUGCCCUCGAAACAAAUACAUGUACCUGAAUCUGCAUGUGUGUAGGAGAGCAAGUGUAUAACUGAGGAGUUCUUCAAAUAGCUUCCAUGCAGAAUUAAAUGUUUAUGAAAAGAUAAAUAAGUAAUAAACACAAGCUAAUGUGAAACUUACAUAUAUUAUUAAAAUUCAACUUAAGCACAACAACUAUUUAGAAUCUAGACCAACAAAAGAUUUUUUUUCAAGGGGUGGGUUAUUUUAUCAUAAGGUUUGUUAAAAUUGCUGGUCCAUGAUGAUAUUCAAAAGCACACCACCUAGAUGAUUUUAUUAUCAUUUUUAAACUCUCUACAGACAACACAUCCCUUUAUUGCCUGCACUCAGAGUGGAUCACUCUCACUGCCCCAUCCUUGGUUGCCACUAAGGGAUUUUAUGCCUUUAUAUGUUGAAUCAUCCUUGCAUUCCAGGAAUAAUUCCCAACUGAUCAUGGAGUAUACUCUUUAAAUAUUUUUUCUGAUGUCCUAAAUGAUUUCGGCCCCAUCCCAAUUUACAUCACCUACUUUGAAUGGGUUUCUGUGCCUUAAAACUCAAAGAGCCUGGUGCAUAGUGGAUGCUAAAUAAAACAUUACCUUUGGACCUAAAUUUAUGGGUUUCUAUGUUGACUUGGAGUGGAAACUCUUUCCUGGAGGCUAGUGGGAGUCAAAACAUCAUACUAAUAUUAGCAUCUUCUUCUAGGGAGUUAGAGAAUCAAAAAUAACUAAAAAAUAAAAGAGCACUUUUGUGGGAAGUUAAGGAAGGGACUUGACCCUUGGCAUCAUUAGCUCACUUGAGCUUGCACUCAUCUCUUUGUCAGUGAGUUUACUGGUUGGCAAAUGGACAUGGUAAGGACAGCACCAACUUUCAACUAGAUACAGACAGGAAGAAUCAGAAGUAGGAAUAUAGUUUAUUGACAUGUCAUUAUUUCUCUAGAUACCAUGAUCAUUUAGAGACAUGGUUUAUGACAUCUGUUUACAGUUUACAAAGGCAUUAAGAACCAAGUGACAGUGCAGUAAGAUUGCAUGAGACAAUACUCCUGUUUUCCCCCUGACUUUAUUUCUGUGUUGUAUCAGUUAUAUGACAGUUAUUUAACCUCUUUACUGUGACAUACAAUGGUAGGGUGUGCUAUGCUGUAUUAACAUAAUUAUGCUCCUUUAUUGACUAUAAAAAAAGAAUUUUUCAGAAGUCCUGGGCACUGUAAACAGCAGCUUCUUCAAGCUAAUGCACAGGAGUGUCAGCACAGAACUGCAGAAGUUAGUUAAUGGAGGCUGAAAUUCUGCACUAUUAAUAAAGCAUGGUAUUUAAGAAUUGAAGUGAAUUAUCUAUGAGGUUUAGGCAUGGAGCUCUAGGAAAUAAAUAUUUUAUAUAAUUACAACGUAAGAUUAACUGUCUAAAUAUUAUUCAUUGCCUUACAAUUUUUAGCACUUUAUCCCUCAAUAAUUAAUAUUAUUUACUAAAAAAAAAAAUAUACUAUUUACUAAAUAUCUAUUACUAUCAUUAAGAGGUAAAAUACUAUAUGUAAUAAUAAGUAUUAUGAAAUCAUUAUUUAUACAUAUCAAACAUGGGGCUGAGGAGGACCUGGGAAGGGAAAUCUGGGUGGGGGCCAAGGGCCGCCUGGAAUUUAUAACUUUAUUAUUAUAUUUAAAAUAAUAACUAUUCAAAUUUCCUGUACACUAUUCAUUGCAUGAUAAUAUAUAACAUUUAUUGCUAUAUAAUGACUAGUAUUUUAUUUAUUAGCAGUAGUAGUAGUAGUACUAGCAAUUAGUAACCAUUUACUAAAUAAUAAAUAUAUAGAAAAUGAUUUUAAUUAUAUAUGAAACCUCUCCCAUCUCUCCCGCCACUUCACCCCCAGGCUACGAUUCCUAGAAGAACUGGGCAGUAAUUAUCACAUUUUCGUGCUUCUCUGAAUGAUCUACAAUUUGUGACACUUGAGCCGUGUCUGGAAGGAUGAAUGGGGUUAGUUAGGAAAGGGGAGAUCGAAGGUCUUUCCAGGGAAGGGUCAGCAGGUACAAAGACAUAGAGACGUCUGGCACCUCAGAGGCUAGUUGGAAUGGCUGGGGGCUGGCUGUCACCCUUCACAGUCUCACAUCCCUAGUGCAAUUUCUAAGUGUCCUCUCUCUUCAGCAAGAUAGUCAAACUUCUUUAACAGAGGCUGACUUCUAAAAGAGCAAAAGUGAGAUUUGCCAGGUCUCUUAAGGGCUAGACCAGAAUUUGCAGUCAUUUUUGCCACAUUCUGCUGGUCAGUGCAAGUGACAAGGUCAGCAUAGAUUCAAGGGGAAGAGAAUUAGCCCUUACUUGUUGAUGAGAGGACAGACAUAUGUCUGUAACCAUGAGGAGAACUGGAUACUAUUAUAUGACACAGGAUUGUUCCUUGAAAUUUGGGAAUGAGAACAUCCCAGAUUAGCCACACCCCUUCUACUUUUAAAUUUCACUAUGUUUUGGACUACCUUACUCAAAAAUUGCAUUUCUUUUAUUACAUGAAGGAGAAAAAAGAAGGAAAAGAAAAAAGAAAUCCCUGUACAGGAAAUCCGCUUUUGAAGUUCCCCAAACUAAUUAAGAACACACUCAAGUCUCAUUUAUUUUAUAUUAUCCAUAAAAUAAUCAAAAGUUAACAGGUAUUUACCUAUGCCUGUUAGAGCAUUAAUUUCACUAGUAAAAUCAUCUAAAGUAUCAAAUUCUAGACAUCUGUUUAAACUAAUAAUUUUGAAGAAACUUUGUCUAAAGCAGAGUUGUGGCUCACUAGAUGAAAUAUUUUUAUUAGAUUUGAAAUUAGAUGUUCAUUUGUAGAAAACAGACACCACUUCAGGCACUUAAGAAGAAAGGGAUUUAAUACAGUGAAUUUGGUGCAUACAAACUAACUGGAAAUGUUGGAGGUACAAAAUCCAGGAUGCUGUAGAUCAACACCACAGAACAAGCCCAGCAAAGGACUGCUAACUGUCAUCACCAGGAAGCUGGCAAGUCAGGAAGCUGCAGUCUCAAGUGGACCAUCAUCUUAGUCAUCAUAUAAGGAAAGAGUAUUUCCUACAAUUGUUGAUCGGGGUAAGAGGAUGGAAAGCCACCACUUAAAUGUUGACCUCUGGACCAUGUUCCUAGAUCAACCCAGUGGGGUUUCUCCUGCCGUAUCACACACAGUCUCAAUGCUACUACUAGAGUUAAGAAAAUGCUUUCAAGAUAAAGAAGUAGAGGCUUUUCUAGAUGUGGCUUAACUCAGGAACGUGGUUUGCAGUACCACCAGCUGCCCCUGCCCUUCUGGCCAGCCUGUGCCCAACGGCUUCCGUGGAUGGACAGCUAGAGGUGGAGGCAAAGCAGCUUCCCAGCGGGGCUCUGCCUUUCACCACAGGACCGUAUUGGGUAGGUUACUUGACUUUUCUAAGCCUCGACUUCCAAAUCUGUAAAACAGAUAAAAACUCAGGCUGCCUCACAGGUUUGUGAGGACUGAAUGAGAAAACAGAUGCAAAGCACCUGCCCCAUAGAAAUCACCGAAUGAAGGUCAGAGCCCCUGAUGAUUUUAUGAUGAUCAAACUUAACACUUCAGGAAGCAAUGCAUUCUCAUUUGAGACAGCCUGAGUUACUGACAAAUGGUUUCUUAUAUAGAGCAGAAUUUUGCCUCUAGUACAUUUUAUUCAUUGGUCUUAAGUAUUCCCUCUGGGAAAAAAGCAAAUUAGGCAUCACACUCUUCCACAUGACAACCCUUUAAAUAGUUGAAGGUACAUUUCCCCCGUUCACCCAUAUGAAACUUGUGUCUGCCAACUUCCCCACCCAACCCACACUCAAGUUUUUAUAUACAAACUACUCUUUAGCCAGUUCUCCUCAAAUUUAUUCUUGGAAAUAUUUUUAAACUGUUGUUAUUUACAUUUAUUUCCAUUUUAUUUCACAACAGCUUUGACUAUCAUCUUAGCCCCUCAAGAGUUUUUCUUUUAUUGAAAUAUAAUUGAUUUGCAAUGUUUCCGGUGUACA